AGAGUUUGAUCCUGGCUCAGAAUGAACGCUGGCGGCGUGCUUAACACAUGCAAGUCGAACGAGAAAGCCGAAAGCUUGCUUUUGGCGAGUAAAGUGGCGCACGGGUGAGUAACGCGUGGAUAAUCUGCCUUUGAGUCUGGGAUAACACCUCGAAAGGGGUGCUAAUACCGGAUGACAUCGCAAGGAUUUCGAUCCUUGCGAUCAAAGAUGGCCUCUGCUUGCAAGCUAUUGCUUGAAGAUGAGUCCGCGUGCCAUUAGCUUGUUGGUGGGGUAAUGGCCCACCAAGGCUACGAUGGUUAGCUGGUCUGAGAGGAUGAUCAGCCACACUGGCACUGACACACGGGCCAGACUCCUACGGGAGGCAGCAGUGAGGAAUUUUGCGCAAUGGGGGAAACCCUGACGCAGCAACGCCGCGUGAGUGAAGAAGGCUUUCGGGUCGCAAGGCUCUGUCAAGUGGGAAGAACCCACGGAGUACCAAUAAGACUUCGUGCUGACGGUACCACUGAAGGAAGCACCGGCUAACUCCGUGCCAGCGGCCGCGGUAAUACGGAGGGUGCAAGCGUUAUUCGGAAUUACUGGGCGUAAAGGGCGCGCAGGCGGCCUGUUAAGUCAGUUGUGAAAGCCCGGGGCUCAACCCCGGAAGUGCGACUGAAACUGGCAGGCUUGAGUAUGGGAGAGGGAAGUG
This 685-nucleotide ribosomal RNA is filed under the name uncultured delta proteobacterium. Its description in RNAcentral is "bacterial SSU rRNA". It matches the Rfam family "Bacterial small subunit ribosomal RNA", at positions 8 to 663 of the family's 1533-position model. Lineage: Bacteria; Deltaproteobacteria. The record is from RNAcentral.